GGGGUUGACGGUACCCUACUAGAAAGGAGCCGCUAACUUCGUGCCAGGAGCGUCGGUAAUACGGGGGCUCCAAGCGUUAUCCGGUGUUAUUGGGCGUAAAGAGUCGUGUAGGUGGUUGGGUAAGUUAUCUUUCAAAUAUCUUUGCUUAACAAAGAGGAGGGGGAUAAUACUGCUCGACUAGAAUUUUCUCAAGGGAGAUCGGAACUGAGGGAGGAGUAGUGAAAUGCGUUGAUACCCUCGGGAACACCAGUGGCGUAGGCGGAUCUCUGGGAGAAGAUUGACACUGAGACACGAAAGCUAGGGGAGCGAAGCAGAUUAGAGACCUGCGUAGUCCUAGCCGUAAACGCAUGCUUGCUAGCUGCAUGAAUCUACCUUCGGGUGGUAUCGUGUGGCGAAGGUAACCCGUUAAGCAAGCCGCCUGGAAAGUACGGCCGCAAGGCUGAAAUUCAAAGGAAUUGGCGGGGAGGCACACAACCAGUGGAACAUGUGGUUUAAUUCGAGACUAACCGAAGAACCUCACCAGGGUUUGACAUGUAGCUGCACGUCUUAAGAAAUUAAGACUCUCUUGAAGGUGCUACACAGGUGCUGCAUGGCUGUCGUCAGCUCGUUCCGUGAGGAGUGCCCUUAAGUGGGACAACGAGCGCAACCCCUAUUACAUGUUAGAAAUGUCAUGUAAGACUGCCUUGCCAUUUGGCGGGGAGGAAGGAGGGGCAGACGUCAAGUCCGCAUGGUCCUUAUGCCCUGGGCUACACACAUGUUACAAUGAGUACGGCAAUGAGUCUGUCGCGAGCACGUAAGUGUAAGCUAAUCUCUUAAAUGUACUCUCAGUGGGGAUUGAGGUCUGCAACUCGACCUCAUGAACACGGAAUUGGUAGUAAUCGCGGGUCAGCUAUACCGCGGUGAUACGUUCUUGCCUCUUGCACACACCGCCCGUCAAACCAGCAAAGUCGAUUGUAUCCGGACCUCUCUUUU
This 972-nucleotide ribosomal RNA is filed under the name uncultured organism. RNAcentral's name for it is "bacterial SSU rRNA". It matches the Rfam family "Bacterial small subunit ribosomal RNA", at positions 465 to 1435 of the family's 1533-position model. The record is from RNAcentral.